AAGUCGUAACAAGGUUUCCGUAGGUGAACCUGCGGAAGGAUCAUUAGUGAAUUUAGCGCAUCUGCUUUGCAGAGCGUGACCUCCACUUUCUAACUCUGUGCACUUAAUGGCGGAAGAGAUGAAAUAUGCUCUUCUGCGGCUCAUUUUAUAACACUAGUUAAAGAAUGUAACGAAAUAUCGAAACAAAAAAAAACUUUCAACAACGGAUCUCUUGGCUCUCGCAUCGACG
Molecule: unclassified non-coding RNA, 229 nt
Filed under: Sampaiozyma vanillica
Lineage: Eukaryota; Fungi; Basidiomycota; Microbotryomycetes; Chrysozymaceae
Description: partial internal transcribed spacer region
Rfam family: Eukaryotic small subunit ribosomal RNA (bases 1-46)
Source: RNAcentral